GUCUAUGGCUAUGCCACCCUGAAUGUGCCCAAUCUUGUCUGAUCUUGGAAGCUAAGCAGGGUCGGGCCUGGUUAGUACUUGGAUGGGAGACCACCUAGGAAUAACAGGUGCCAUAGGUA
Molecule: ribosomal RNA, 119 nt
Filed under: Pteropus alecto (black flying fox)
Lineage: Eukaryota; Metazoa; Chordata; Mammalia; Chiroptera; Pteropodidae
Source: RNAcentral